RNAcentral lists this long non-coding RNA (270 nucleotides) under Panax ginseng (ginseng). RNAcentral describes it as "long non-coding RNA (PGIN_LNC018981)". Lineage: Eukaryota; Viridiplantae; Streptophyta; Magnoliopsida; Apiales; Araliaceae. The record is from RNAcentral.
GAAGGAUAUGUGUCAAAACUGAAAGUAAGCAGCGGGAUGUGCUAUUCGGGACACUGUUUCGAUUAGUUAAUGUUUUCAAAACCUUCUGGGCUUUUGGUAUGUUAUAGUACACCGAAUAAGCUUUCCAUAGACUCUGAAACGGACUAAAUCCGAUAUCGGAGGAGAGAGUUAUGACAUUUCAAAGUAGUAGUGUCAAAACUUCCCAACAAGUGCGGUGCAGUCCAUUUGAACGGAAUUUCUGGGCUGAUGUGUUCGGAAUUUGGAAAUGGU